This 72-nucleotide transfer RNA is filed under the name Blattabacterium sp. DPU. Its description in RNAcentral is "tRNA-Thr". It matches the Rfam family "tRNA". Rfam says of the family: Transfer RNA (tRNA) molecules are approximately 80 nucleotides in length. Their secondary structure includes four short double-helical elements and three loops (D, anti-codon, and T loops). Lineage: Bacteria; Pseudomonadati; Bacteroidota; Flavobacteriia; Flavobacteriales; Blattabacteriaceae. The record is from RNAcentral.
GCCAAUGUAGCUCAGUGGUAGAGCACUUCCUUGGUAAGGAAGAGGUCACGGGUUCAAAUCCCGCCGUUGGCU